This 673-nucleotide ribosomal RNA is filed under the name uncultured bacterium. RNAcentral's name for it is "bacterial SSU rRNA". It matches the Rfam family "Bacterial small subunit ribosomal RNA", at positions 64 to 752 of the family's 1533-position model. The record is from RNAcentral.
GAGGGGCAUCAGAUGUAGCAAUACAUGCUGGCGACCGGCGCACGGGUGAGUAACACGUAUCCACCUGCCUUUUACUCGGGGAUAGGCUUUCGAAAGAAAGAUUAAUACCCGAUGGUUCCGCAUGGGUAAAGAAUUUCGGUAAAAGAUGGGGAUGCGUUCCAUUAGGCAGUUGGCGGGGUAACGGCCCACCAAACCUUCGAUGGAUAGGGGUUCUGAGAGGAAGGUCCCCCACAUUGGAACUGAGACACGGUCCAAACUCCUACGGGAGGCAGCAGUGAGGAAUAUUGGUCAAUGGGCGGAAGCCUGAACCAGCCAAGUAGCGUGAAGGAUGACUGCCUAUGGGUUGUAAACUUCUUUUAUAGGGGAAUAAAUGAGCCACGUGUGGCUUUUUGUAUGUACCCUAUGAAUAAGGAUCGGCUAACUCCGUGCCAGCAGCCGCGGUAAUACGGAGGAUCCGAGCGUUAUCCGGAUUUAUUGGGUUUAAAGGGAGCGUAGGUGGACAUGUAAGUCAGUUGUGAAAGUUUGCGGCUCAACCGUAAAAUUGCAGUUGAUACUGUGUGUCUUGAGUACAGUAGAGGUGGGCGGAAUUCGUGGUGUAGCGGUGAAAUGCUUAGAUAUCACGAAGAACUCCGAUUGCGAAGGCAGCUCACUGGACUGUUACUGACACUGAGGC